This 305-nucleotide ribosomal RNA is filed under the name uncultured bacterium. RNAcentral describes it as "bacterial SSU rRNA". It matches the Rfam family "Bacterial small subunit ribosomal RNA", at positions 337 to 639 of the family's 1533-position model. The record is from RNAcentral.
CCCUACGGGGGGCAGCAGUGAGGAAUAUUGGUCAAUGGGCUUACGCCUGAACCAGCCAAGUCGCGUGAGGGAAGACUGCCCUAUGGGUUGUAAACCUCUUUUGUCAGGGAGCAACGCCGGCUACGUGUAGCCGGACUGAGAGUACCUGAAGAAAAAGCAUCGGCUAACUCCGUGCCAGCAGCCGCGGUAAUACGGAGGAUGCGAGCGUUAUCCGGAUUUAUUGGGUUUAAAGGGUGCGUAGGCGGAAUGCCAAGUCAGCGGUAAAAUCGCGGGGCUCAACCUCGCUCGGCCGUUGAAACUGGCGU